This 292-nucleotide ribosomal RNA is filed under the name uncultured bacterium. RNAcentral describes it as "partial 16S ribosomal RNA". The record is from RNAcentral.
GGACUACCGGGGUUUCUAAUCCUGUUUGCUCCCCACGCUUUCGCGUCUCAGCGUCAGUCACCGUCCAGAGGGCCGCCUUCGCCACCGGUGUUCCUCCUGAUAUCUACGCAUUUCACCGCUACACCAGGAAUUCCACCCUCCUCUCCGGGACUCGAGCCCAUCAGUUUCCAAUGCACUUCCGGGGGUGAGCCCCGGGCUUUCACAUCAGACUUAAUGGGCCGCCUACACGCGCUUUACGCCCAGUGAUUCCGAACAACGCUAGCACCCUCCGUAUUACCGCGGCUGCUGGCAC